Long non-coding RNA from Gadus morhua (Atlantic cod), 2035 nucleotides. The record is from Ensembl. NCBI's taxonomy places the organism in Eukaryota, Metazoa, Chordata, Actinopteri, Gadiformes, Gadidae.
AUGGCUGUUGGGUGCAUUCUCAGAGUGUCUUGGUUUUGUUUGUUGCUGUUUGGUGGCAGUCUUCCUUUUCCAUCAAUGAAGGGUGACAGAUAUACCUCCAAGACUGACCAUCCUGAAAUUGGGGGUGAUAAAGAUGACAAGCUACAAACUUCUCAUACUCUGAGGUUUGAGGCAUAUAGCCUAGCAAAAGGAUAUUCAGACCGAAGCAAAAAAGUCCCACUAGCUGCAGCUCCAAAGCAGGCACUGUUGAACCCCGAGGAAGGGGCGAGGAUCCAGGGAGGCAGAGCUGUGGAGUUUGGACAGAAAAAUGCUGAGAUUGAAGACCAGAAACUUCCUCUAAACCCUGCCAACCAGCAUGAUUACUCUUUUGAGGAGCAGAGGGGCAGCGCAAAGCCUCAGUUCCCUAAGCCUUCUACCAAACCAUCUUCAGAACUGGCAGGCUCUGACCUUAUCCCUCCUACUCCAUAUCUGUUGAUGGACGAUGGUGCAUUCAGUAGUGGUCCUACUUUGGAGUCUAAACAAGUGUCUAAAAGUGGCGGGUACUUUAAUCCUACCCAGAACCUCAACUUCCAGGCUGGUGAACAAGAGGGCUCACACUUCUAUGCGGACCAGCCAAGAAGUCGGUCCUCUGCUUCCUACAUGACCGGAGGAGGGGAGCCAGUAUUCUCCAUUAAUUCAGAUGAUGACCCCUACACCUAUGACUCUGUGAAUGCGGAACAGCCAAGCAGUUGGUCCUCUGAUCGUUACAUUACCAGAGAAGAGACGGUAUUCUCCAGUAAUGCAGGUGACUGGGCCCAGGCCGCUCUGAACAUUGGCGCACAGAUCCUGGAGGCUGAAGCAGUACCUAGUAUUGACACUAAAGGGGGUUACUCUAGCUCUUCACUGCACCUUGACCUCCCAGCUGGUGUACAAGAAGGUUCACAAAGCUAUUCCCCUAACCUUGUCGAUGAGGCUGUUUAUCAAUACCCUGCUGCUGAAGCUGCACAUCUUCCUUCAGAAGAGAGUGACCUCUCCGACUACAACUCUGUGAAUGUGGUCCAGCCAAGCACUUUGUCUUCUGCUCCCUACAUGACUAGAGAAGAGGAGCCGGUUUACGUCAGUAAUUCAGGUGACUGGGCCCAGGCUGCGCAGACCAUUAGCGAACAGCCUCUGGAGGCUGAAGCAGUACCUAGUACUGACACUAAAGGGGGUUACUCUAGCUCUUCACUGCACCUUGACCUCCCAGCUGAUGUACAAGAAGGUUCACAAAGCUAUUCCCCUAACCUUGUUGAUGAGGCUGUUUAUCAAUACCCUGCUGCUGAAACUGCACAGCUUUAUUCAGAGGGGGUUGACGCCUCCAAGUAUGACUCUAUGAACGCAGUCCAGCCAAGCACUUGGUCCUCGGCUUCCUACAUGACCAGAGAAGAGGAGCCGGUAUUCUCCAGUCAUACAGGUCACUGGGCCCAUGUUGCUCCUGUGGAAACCCCUGCCUAUCCAAGCGAUGUGGCUGAUUUCGUCUUGGACUCGACUUCAAGUAAAGCCGCUGCACAACCAGUCCUCUUCAAGCCACUGAAGAAGGCUCCUCAGCUGCCCAGCUCCAAGUGGCUUCAGAGGCCAAAGAAGGUGAGGGACCAGACUGCAUCUACCUACAUUGUCCAAUCCAAGGGCUCACACCGCCGAAGCCGCCAGAUGUUAUCCAAGAAGAAGUACUUCAGCGGUUUCCCUCCACUGCCCCCAUUCGUGCUUAUGGCUCUGAGACCGUAAGGGGAUCUUAAACAUACAGGAAGCGAGCAAGUGGCUAAAACAGAUGAAGGAACAGAACCUCUCCAAAGGUGCAGUCGAGGUGCCGCGCUUCCCUGGCAUGGAAGACAGCGAGGCUGCACAAUCCCUAGAGUAUUACAUAGAAAAUGGUGUCACCUUAAUUGCUAAAGAAAAGUAUGAAGUUAUGGAUCCUUUUCUAUUUAUGUUUGAGUAUUAUGGGGACAUGCAAUUGUUUUUUGGAAAACUUGAAAAUGAUACGACGAUUAAAGUCCAUUGGGGAUUGUUUUAACCGAAA